UACAGAGGGGGCAAGCGUUGUUCGGAAUUACUGGGCGUAAAGGGCGCGUAGGCGGCCUGCUAAGUCGAACGUGAAAUCCCUGGGCUCAACCCAGGAACUGCGUCCGAUACUGGUUGGCUUGAAUCCGGGAGAGGGAUGUGGAAUUCCAGGUGUAGCGGUGAAAUGCGUAGAUAUCUGGAGGAACACCAAUUGCGAAGGCAGCUGGCUACACGAAUAUUGACACUGAUGCACGAAAGCGUGGGGAUCAAACAGG
This 253-nucleotide ribosomal RNA is filed under the name uncultured bacterium. Its description in RNAcentral is "partial 16S ribosomal RNA". It matches the Rfam family "Bacterial small subunit ribosomal RNA", at positions 524 to 776 of the family's 1533-position model. The record is from RNAcentral.